AUACACAAAUUCACUAUUGCGUNAAAUAGAGCUUAAUAGUCUUGAAAAACUAAAUUGCGUGGCGGCUUAACAACUAUAUAGAGAGGCAUGCUUUUUAAUCGAUACUACACGAACAUCUUACCUAAUUUUGUAAUUCAAUCAUUUUGCACACCGCCGUCGGAAGAAUAAUUUUAGAGAAUUGUUCAUUAUCUUACUUUCAUCAAUUAAACGUGUUGGAAGUAAGACUUAAGUCAGGUCAAGGCGUAGACUAUGGUUAGGUUAAAGUGUGACUCAUUAUUAUUAUUAUAUCUUUAGUGUAAAUUUACAAUAGCUUAUACUAUAUUAAUGAAUAUUAAUAAAGUAAAUGANUUUAUAAGUAAAUUGUGUUCAAAACACANNCCUGAAUAGAGCUNUGUNUAGUGC
This 402-nucleotide ribosomal RNA is filed under the name Naubates ultimae. RNAcentral's name for it is "partial 12S ribosomal RNA". The record is from RNAcentral. Lineage: Eukaryota; Metazoa; Arthropoda; Insecta; Psocodea; Philopteridae.